Molecule: ribosomal RNA, 484 nt
Filed under: uncultured bacterium
Lineage: Bacteria
Description: partial 16S ribosomal RNA
Rfam family: Bacterial small subunit ribosomal RNA
Source: RNAcentral
AUUGAACGCUGGCGGCAUGCUUUACACAUGCAAGUCGAACGGCAGCGCGGGCUUCGGCCUGGCGGCGAGUGGCGAACGGGUGAGUAAUACAUCGGAACGUGCCCAGUAGUGGGGGAUAGCUCGGCGAAAGCCGGAUUAAUACCGCAUACGACCUGAGGGUGAAAGCGGGGGAUCUUCGGACCUCGCGCUAUUGGAGCGGCCGAUGGCAGAUUAGCUAGUUGGUGGGGUAAAGGCCUACCAAGGCGACGAUCUGUAGCUGGUCUGAGAGGACGACCAGCCACACUGGGACUGAGACACGGCCCAGACUCCUACGGGAGGCAGCAGUAGGGAAUUUUGGACAAUGGGCGAAAGCCUGAUCCAGCAAUGCCGCGUGUGUGAUGAAGGCCUUCGGGUUGUAAAGCACUUUUGGCGGGAACGAAAAGGACUGUGCCAAUACCACGGUUCGAUGACGGUACCCGCAGAAUAAGCACCGGCUAACUACGUG